Molecule: long non-coding RNA, 2844 nt
Organism: Ornithorhynchus anatinus (platypus)
Lineage: Eukaryota; Metazoa; Chordata; Mammalia; Monotremata; Ornithorhynchidae
Exons: 3
Source: RefSeq, a predicted model, not a curated record
AGAUCACACAGCAGAAAAAUGGAAAAACUGGGAUUAGAUCCCAGGUCCUUCUGACUCUCAAGCCUGGGCUGUAGUCACUGGGCUAUGCUGCUACUCAGUGUGGUACUUUCCAAGGCACUCAUUGUGAUUUGUACCCAGAGGAUGCUUGCCAUAAAUGCCAUGGAUUGAUUGACAUCCCCCAAAUUAAGUCAAUACAAGACAUAUGUACAUUUUUUUUUGUUACAGUUCUGUAGAACACAGAGAUAGGAUGAACUGGCAGAAAAUCCAGCUUUGGCCGUCCUGUGUGUAUUGCAGAAGUGUUCGACAAAUGGCCACCUUGAUUUUAAAAUGUAAUUUCCUGGCUCCGGGAGAUGAGGAGAAAGCACCAGAGGAGGAAGGAGGAGACUCGAACAUCUCACCCACCGAUGCACCAACCAAACGGAGAGCCUUAACCAUGGGAGUUGACCUAUCAUCCGGGAGAAAAUAAAAAAAAUAAGUAUCUCCUCAUAUCCUAGCAAAACAAACUUGGAAACACUUACUGCUAGUAUCGACCGAUCUGAACUCUUAAGAAGCCUCUCUCACGUUUUUAUAUUCGAGAUGAAAAAGUAUUUGGCCUUUUUCUCCCAGAAUAUAUCCCCAAUCCAUUUUCAGGGGAAAGAACUCUGCUGGUUAGGAUGUUGCUCUCACUCCUUAAAAUUCAGUCAGGGGAGAGAGAAAGGCGAGACCGGGAGCUUAUACAUAGGAAGAAAUAAAAAGGAAAAUAAAAGAGACAUUAAAUACAUAGUACAGUUAGGCUAUUUAAAAGCCGACGCAGAAACUGAAGCUAACAGUAAGUUUCCAAGGGAAAUUUACUUCACGUCUCCUUAAAAAGAAAGAAUAAAACAUCUUAGGACGAGCCUCCCUGAUUUAGAACGGUUCACUCUCCUGACUAUUGGGAUUGGGUUUAUAUUCCAUAUGAGGUUUGGCUUUGGUUCAAAAAGAGAGACAAGAAAAUGUUUGCACAUCCUUGCGCGGUGUGAUUCUGCAGGAGAUCUGGACAAGAACUGCUGCUGCCCCUUGUGAAAACAGUGGUAGAGUCUGUGGUCGUGGGCUCAACCCCAGGUCGAUAUUUUUCAGAGACUUAACCAGCCUACUUCUGGGAACGCCCCAUCUGGCCAGCAUCCAUCCAGGCUGAGGUGCAGCCUCAGACGUCAGUAGAAGCCGAGCUGAUGGGAGGGUGAGGAGGGCUAGAUGAAAAGAUGCUGGCGGCAGCAAAGAGGAUUGUCGCCUGAAUUCCAAACCUCCAACUGGCUCGGCAUCUACCAGAAUAUCGGAGGACUGAAGCCGGCGGUGCGAGAAGACCCUUGCUCCGGCUCAUGCGGCAAGGGAUGGAUAAAGGCAAAACCCUCUGAGGCCCUGAACCAGUGCCCCGCACUGUAAACUAAGUCUUUGUGGCCAGGAAAGCAGAGGUAAAAAAAAAAUAGUUUCCAUUACGCCAACAAUCUCCUGCUUGGAUUGAUCUACCCAAGGUCUUCAUGGGCUGUAAAGAUUCGAUGGGGUUAAAAAAGCAGGAUUUUGCUCUAUGCAAAACCUCUCCUGCUUAUUUAUCUAGGUAAGGAUUUAAGGGCCUUUAAAGAAAAUAGAUGAGGGAAAGGAGAGAUUUGCUGGAUACUGAGACAUCUCCUGUGCCUGAGUCCCCACUUCAUGUCUCCAAGACCUUGUGUUACAGAACAGAGAGUUGUUGAGGUGCCAGGGGAGAAACAUGCUUCUUGCGAAAAUUCUCCAGAUUUCAUUUCCCUCCCCAAAGUGGUAUUCAAGGCCGUCAAAAAGAUGUUUGAGGGAAAAGGGAGAAAUUUGCUUUCCCUAUCGAAUGUCUUCUUUGCCUUAAGAGAGAACAUUGGCUGUGCCAAAGGAGAAAUUUGCUUCAAGAAAAUAAUCUCCAGUUUUAUUUCUCUAUCUAAGGGGUCUUCAAGGCCAGCAAAGAUUAUUUUGGAGCUGAAAAAGAGGAAAUUUGCUUUACACAACACAUCCCCUGCUUCCUUUCUUCUUCCUUAAGUCUUUGAGGGCUGAAAAGGCAAUAUAUGGGUUGAAAAGAAGGAGUAUCAUGCUUCGUGGAAAACCUCUCCUGCUUAUUUGAGGUCAUCAAAGCUUCAAAAGAGAACAUUUGGGGUCCUAAAGGAAGAAUUGACUUCUUGCAGAUACAGGGUCUUCAUGACUUGCUGUCUCUCUCCCUUGAAGGCCUUCAGGGCCUGCUCCCUCCCUCCCUAGUAGUUCUUCAUGGCCUGCUGUCUCCCUCCCUGGCAGGUGUCCAGGACUUGCUCACUCCCUCCAUUACAUGUGUUCAGGACAUGCUCAAUCCCUUCCUUGAAGACCUUCAAGGCCUGCUCUCUCCCUUCCUAGCAGGUCUUCAGGGCCAGCUCUAAUCCCUCCCUUGCAGGUCUUCAGAGGCAUCUCAUUCUGUCUCCUUGCAGGUCUUCGGGUUCUGCUCAUUCCCGCCCUUGUAGGUCUUCAUGGCCUGCUCCAUCCCUCCCUUGUAGGUCUUCAUGGCCUGUUUCCUCCCUCCCUAGCAGUUUGUCAGGGCUCACACACCCGAUCUCUAGUAGUUCUUCAUGACCUGCUCACUCCCUCCUUAUCAGGUCUUCAGGGCCAGUUAAUUCUCUCCCCGUGCAGGUCUUCAGGGCCUGCUCACUCCCUCCCUUGAAGGUCUUCAUGGCCUGCUCACUCCCUCCUUUGCAGGUCCUCAGGACCUGCUCACUCCCUUACAGAUCUUCAGGGCCUGGUAACUCCCUCCUAUGCAGGUCUUCAGGCUGUUUUUUCUCCCUCCCAUCUCUAGUAGUUCUUUAUGGCCUGCUCACUCCCUCCCUUUCAGGUCUUCAGGACCUGCUC